AUUGAACGCUGGCGGCAGGCUUAACACAUGCAAGUCGAACGGUAGCAGGAGAAAGCUUGCUUUCUUGCUGACGAGUGGCGGACGGGUGAGUAAUGCUUGGGAAUCUGGCUUAUGGAGGGGGAUAACGACGGGAAACUGUCGCUAAUACCGCGUAGUGUCGAGAGACGAAAGGGUGGGACUUUUAGCCACCUGCCAUGAGAUGAGCCUAAGUGGGAUUAGGUAGUUGGUGGGGUAAAGGCCUACCAAGCCUGCGAUCUCUAGCUGGUCUGAGAGGAUGACCAGCCACACUGGAACUGAGACACGGUCCAGACUCCUACGGGAGGCAGCAGUGGGGAAUAUUGCGCAAUGGGGGCAACCCUGACGCAGCCAUGCCGCGUGAAUGAAGAAGGCCUUCGGGUUGUAAAGUUCUUUCGGUAUUGAGGAAGGUUGAUGUGUUAAUAGUACAUCAAAUUGACGUUAAAUACAGAAGAAGCACCGGCUAACUCCGUGCCAGCAGCCGCGGUAAUACGGAGGGUGCGAGCGUUAAUCGGAAUAACUGGGCGUAAAGGGCACGCAGGCGGUUAUUUAAGUGAGGUGUGAAAGCCCCGGGCUUAACCUGGGAAUUGCAUUUCAGACUGGGUAACUAGAGUACUUUAGGGAGGGGUAGAAUUCCACGUGUAGCGGUGAAAUGCGCAGAGAUGUGGAGGAAUACCGAAGGCGAAGGCAGCCCCUUGGGAAUGUACUGACGCUCAUGUGCGAAAGCGUGGGGAGCAAACAGG
RNAcentral lists this ribosomal RNA (758 nucleotides) under uncultured Haemophilus sp. Its description in RNAcentral is "bacterial SSU rRNA". It matches the Rfam family "Bacterial small subunit ribosomal RNA", at positions 28 to 776 of the family's 1533-position model. Lineage: Bacteria; Pseudomonadati; Pseudomonadota; Gammaproteobacteria; Pasteurellales; Pasteurellaceae. The record is from RNAcentral.